RNAcentral lists this ribosomal RNA (201 nucleotides) under uncultured bacterium. RNAcentral describes it as "partial 16S ribosomal RNA". It matches the Rfam family "Bacterial small subunit ribosomal RNA", at positions 524 to 724 of the family's 1533-position model. The record is from RNAcentral.
UACAGAGGGGGCAAGCGUUGUUCGGAAUUACUGGGCGUAAAGGGCGCGUAGGCGGCCUGUUAAGUCGAACGUGAAAUCCCCGGGCUCAACCCGGGAACUGCGUCCGAUACUGGCAGGCUUGAAUCCGGGAGAGGGAUGCGGAAUUCCAGGUGUAGCGGUGAAAUGCGUAGAUAUCUGGAAGAACACCCGUGGCUAAGGCGG